Molecule: non-coding RNA, 807 nt
Organism: Meleagris gallopavo (turkey)
Lineage: Eukaryota; Metazoa; Chordata; Aves; Galliformes; Phasianidae
Source: RefSeq, a predicted model, not a curated record
UCGUGAUUGAAAGCUCUGAGAAAAAGUUGAAGUGAAGAAAAAGUUCCUGUCAGGUUUUUGAAGGAGGAAUUCUUUUUGGAGGGGAGGCAAAAGAAGGCAUGGGUGGUUUACAUUCACUGUAACAUUCCUGUUCCAAACUCCAAAGGGGUUCUGCCAUCAGCGUGAUGGAGCAAUCAUGGCAAGCUACUGUCACGCCGCUCUGCUCAGUGGCCCACGUGGCACGUGUUUGCAUGCAUCCUAAACGUGCCCUGUGAUGCUCUCUUCCUUAUCAGGGCAGCUUUUGGAGGAAAUUUUCUAAUUGUUUAGUAAAAACAUUUUUUUUCCUAAAAUGGUACAGUCAAAAAUGGAUCGGUUAUUCAUGGCACAAUCUCAUCUAAAUACUAAAAAUACACCAGAAACCCAAUUUUGCACGAUAUUACAAUUCUCAGUGAUUCAAAUGGGUGAUUUGGAUAUAGGAACCUCUUGCCUGCUGCUCUAAAAACGUAUUUUGAAACUCAGCUGUGGGGUCAUCAUGUUACUCUACCUGGCUGUGAGAAAUCUUUUAGAGUACUUUCUGCCUUGUGAUGUGCAGAUAAUGUCCUGUACAGGAGUGCUCAAGAAGCAACUCCAUUUGUCAUGUAGCUCUAUUCAGACACCUCUGAAAAAAGAGACAUGAUGAUGACAAAAAGAUAGAGAAAUCCACUACGUUUUUUUAAAUACCUUAAAUAUAUUUAUUGUAAUAACACUUUUCACCUUGACAAUUCAAUAAAAUGAACUCAUUUGUAAUCUGGCACAAAUAAUUAAAGCUUUUAAGAAUGUCCACAUUAA